Micropterus dolomieu (smallmouth bass) is the source of this 2212-nucleotide RNA transcript. It is a transcript of the gene named heparanase, with no coding region annotated. The record is from RefSeq and is a predicted model, not a curated record. Lineage: Eukaryota; Metazoa; Chordata; Actinopteri; Centrarchiformes; Centrarchidae. The transcript has 15 exons.
GUCCUGUGUGCUCAGCCUGGGGUGGAGUCCUGUCUGUUCAGGCUCGUCCCGGAGAUGAUCCGGCUCUGGUGCGGACGCUGUGAAGCCGGAGGAAGCCUCCUCCACCCCGGCUGUAAAGAAGAAGAAGUGUUCCGCACGUGUUGGAGGUUCCGUCUGCAGCCAUGAAGCCCGUCGCGGUGCUGGUUCUUUGUGUCCUCAGCUGUCAGACUGACGGAGUCAACAUCACAGACCCGGACAGGAACUCCUCGGCUGUGAUCCGCCGGGUGGACCGGCGCUUUCUGUCCGUCACCAUCGACGCCAGCCUGGCGUCAGAGGAGAAGUUCAUGUACCUGUUGAGCUCUCCAAAGGUUCGGACGCUGGCUAAAGCAUUAAGUCCGGCAUUUUUGAGAUUUGGGGGGACCAGACAAGACUUCAUGGUGUUCAGCCCACAGAGGCAUCAGCAGGAGUCUGGUUCCACUGCAGAUCAGUCCUGUGAUAAAGUGGAGUUGCCCUGGUGGCUGGAGGAGAGGCUGAAGAAGGAGUGGACUCAGCAGCAACUGAUCCUGAUGAGAGAAGAUCUGCAGAGGAAGUACAGCAGGGUGAAGUUCACAGAGUACACCGUCGACCUGCUGCACUCCUUCACCAACUGCUCGGGGAUGGAUCUGAUCUUCGGGCUGAACGCUCUGCUCAGAACGGCUGACAACAGCUGGAACAGCAGCAACGCCCGCUCGCUGCUGCAGUACUGCGAGUCCAGGCGGUACAGGAUGUCGUGGGAGCUGGGCAACGAACCAAACAGCUUUGAGAAGAAGGCAGGGAUCCGGGUGGACGGAUAUCAGCUGGGACAGGAUUUCACCCGUCUCAGGGAGAUGAUGUCGGAAUCCAAAUUUUACCACGACGCCGGACUGUUCGGGCCGGACAUCGGUCAGCCGCGAGACCGCAGGACGGACAUACUGGAGGGGUUCCUGCGGAGUGGAGCUGAGGCGGUGGACGCCUGCACCUGGCACCAUUACUAUGUGAACGGGAGAGACACGUCCUUGGAGGAUUUUCUGGACCCAGAGAUUCUGGACACUCUGGCCUCAAAGACCAAAGAAGUCCUGGAGAAAGUGAAGCUGGUGUCUCCGGGGAAGACGGUGUGGCUGGGAGAGACGAGCUCGGCCUACGGAGGAGGAGCUGCGGGACUGUCGGACACGUUCGCCGCAGGAUUCAUGUGGUUGGAUAAACUCGGCCUGGCAGCUGUGCUCGGCCUGCGUGUUGUGAUGAGGCAGGUGUUCAUUGGUUCUGGGAGUUACCACCUGGUCGACGAGAACCUGGAUCCUCUUCCUGAUUAUUGGUUGUCUGUUCUCUACAAGAGACUCGUCGGACCGGAGGUUUUGAAAAUUGAAGGAUUUUCCAGCGUAGCUCGAAGUAAAAGAGUGAGGCUGUAUCUGCACUGCACCAACAGAAACAGCUACAGCGGCGGAGCGGUCACGUUGAUAUCCAUGAACCUGAGUAAGAAGCCGGCCAGGAUCUCCGUUCCUGCACCCGUCUCCUCGAGCACAGUGGAGGCUUUUGUUCUUCAGUCUGACCAGCCGGGGAAGGAGGGGCUCUACUCCAGGUCUGUGAAACUGAACGGGGAAGUGCUGAAGAUGGUGGAUGAUAAAACUCUUCCUGACUUUAAAGGAAGUCGUCUGCCUCCAGCUGAGCGGCUGCAGCUUCCUGCGUACUCGCUGGCCUUCUUCGUCCUCACAGAUGCUCGGGCUGCGGCCUGCAUCUGACCUCAACAUGGACUCCUCUGUAGAGACAGUCAUCACUACUGAGAAAACAGCUGCUCAUCACUGGACUCAAAUGACCUGAGGCAUAAUCUGAACCCUUAAAUGUCCCCACCACUUUUCAACACAAAGUGACGCCCUUGGACGUGGCUAAUGAUCAAUACAUCCCAAACCAGGUUUCCUGCUGUGUCGAUGUUGGACGACUGGAACAUCUGCUUCACCUGCGAUCAGACAGAUUAAUGGCACUGAUCACCUCAGAACAUAUCUGGAUGAUCGCAUGAGAAAGAGUGGUGGAAAGCUCUUGGCUUGGAAACCAGAGGGUCACUGGUUCAAGUCCAGCUCGGCCAGAGAUCCGGAGUGUGGACCCGUAGCUGGAGGGGAGCCAGUUCACCUCCUUGGCCCUUCUGGAGGAGGCUCGAGGUGGCAGCCCCCUCGCUCUGACGUCUCUGCAUGUGUUGUUGCAUGUGUGUGUAUAAUAACAAUAA